GGCGUUUGGCGGGUCUUUGUCUCUUGCUGGCGCUGGCACAGGAACUUGGGAUCCGUCUCCUCUUUCGCCUCCUCCGCUUUGGGAGCCCCGGGCUACUCUUUCACAGCCCCUGUUGCCCUGUGAUCUGUAGGUCCUUGGGGACGCACAGUUAAGAUGACAGGACAUCCUGGAAGCUGGGAAAUGGUAACUUCUUAGACCAAGUCUAGAAACAGUCUGAGGACAAUAACAAUUCCAUUCUAAAAAGAAUCUCCCAACAUUUCUUCUAUCUCAACCUCAACUGCAUCUGCCUGUGAACUUCCAGCUUACCAAGGCUCUAUAUCUUCUGGCAGUGACAAAGGCUCCUUCCAUGGUUGGUAUAUGUAUUCAUUUCCUACCACCGUAGUGGAAGAGAGAUUUUCCCUAUCUUUACAACUGAUAGCAUUUCCAACAGUAAGCUGUGAGAUUCUGCUUGAAAUCACCUCUCAAACAAAUAAAAAACAGACCUGGGAGACAUGCUACACUCAUUCUGCUGAGGAAAUAGGGCAAGAAUAUUUUCUAAGACCCCGAACUCCAGAUAUGCGAUGGGGCAAAUCCUGAAGCGUACAUGGCUAUCUCUCACAGCUAAAGCACCCCUCACCCCUAUCCAGCGCUUCUUACCCCUGGCGCAAGAGAGUCACCUGCGGGGAGGAAAACUAUCAAAAUCCCUUAAACCCAAGUUGUAACCGCACAACUAAAUCAGAAUCCUUGGAGCUGGAUCUGAAAAAAAUACGGUUGAAAG
Molecule: long non-coding RNA, 757 nt
Filed under: Homo sapiens (human)
Lineage: Eukaryota; Metazoa; Chordata; Mammalia; Primates; Hominidae
Description: non-protein coding lnc-CBSL-165:1
Source: RNAcentral